This 428-nucleotide ribosomal RNA is filed under the name uncultured prokaryote. RNAcentral's name for it is "bacterial SSU rRNA". It matches the Rfam family "Bacterial small subunit ribosomal RNA", at positions 355 to 774 of the family's 1533-position model. The record is from RNAcentral.
UGAGGAAUUUUGCGCAAUGGGAGCAAUCCUGACGCAGCAACGCCGCGUGGGUGAUGAAGGCCUUCGGGUCGUAAAGCCCUGUCAGGUGGGAAGAAUGUCCUGGAAUUGAACAGGUUUCGGGAGUGACGGUACCACCAGAGGAAGCACCGGCUAACUCCGUGCCAGCAGCCGCGGUAAUACGGAGGGUGCAAGCGUUAUUCGGAAUUACUGGGCGUAAAGCGCGUGUAGGCGGUCCUGCAAGUCUGAUGUGAAAGCCCCGGGCUUAACCCGGGAAGUGCAUUGGAAACUGCAGGUCUUGAGUACUGGAGAGGAGGGGGGAAUUCCCGGUGUAGAGGUGAAAUUCGUAGAGAUCGGGAGGAAUAUCAGUGGCGAAGGCGCCCAUCUGGACGGUAACUGACGCUGAGACGCGAAAGCGUGGGGAGCAAACA